This is a long non-coding RNA of Piliocolobus tephrosceles (Ugandan red Colobus), 1528 nucleotides long. RefSeq lists it as uncharacterized. Lineage: Eukaryota; Metazoa; Chordata; Mammalia; Primates; Cercopithecidae. The transcript is spliced from 3 exons. The record is from RefSeq and is a predicted model, not a curated record.
CCUUGGCCUCCCAAAGUGCUGGGAUUACAGGUGUGAGCCACCAUGCCCAGCCCAGGUUAUAUAUUAUAUGGAGAGGUUCUCAUUUCUGGCAACCAAUAACAGGAGGUUUAGAAGGUUUAGUGAUCAGCAUUAGAAAAUACCUUUAGGUAAGGUUGAACUGGGAAUGCUUUAGGCAACCUUAGAUCUCCAUUAUGUCUGGCGGAAGCAUCAGCAGGUAUAAGGCAGACCUGAAGUGGUUGAAUGAGGAGCUGAGCUGAGGUGUCCAGAUAGGCGUGCAAUUCCAAGUAGCUGAAGAUAAAGCAACAAAAAGAGCCAGGUAGGGAGGCCUUCAAAGUGGGACUGAGGGCUGCCCCUGGCAGUCAGUGCCAUUGGAGUCUGGGAUGGCAUGGAGUUCUGAUUGCAUUUGGUAAGUGCCCUCUGGAUGCCAUGUGUAGACUAGAAUAUGGUGACACUAGGGGAGGCACAUAAGGUGGUGUAGGGGGCAGUGGUUGUGGUACAGAGUGUGUGCACAUUCUAGUGAGUAUAAACAGAUGUGCCCCGGACCUUGUAUUGGGGGCUUCAGGGAGAACACUGACACAAAUUUGAUUGUAUUUGGGAAACAGUCUUGGAAUCCAAGGUGAGUUGUCUGGCAAGAGAAGAGUAGGACUCUGCAUACCGUGCCCAGAGCUGAAAUGGACUCUAUCUGCCUACCUGCCUGUGCUUGCUCAGUGGGAACAUGCGGAGACAGUGGGCAUCCGUGGUUCUGGGGCAGGGUCUCUCCUCUGAGAUGGGGAUUGAGGAAGAGGGUGAGCAGGGGUGGAUGUUUAGGGGGAUGCCUAAAUUCCCCAGUAAGGAGGCCACAGAUAAACUCAACUCUCUCCAUCUUAGCAGGGCUAUGUGACCUUUGAGGACGUGGCUGUCUACUUCUCCCAGGAGGAAUGGAGAUUGCUUGAUGAGGCUCAGAGGCUCCUCUGCCGCAGUGUGAUGCUGGAGAACUUUUCACUUCUGGCCUCUCUGGGAUCCUGAAGUAGCUAUUGUAAUUGGCCUGGGCUGCGUAUAUCACCACCUUCUGUCCCCGAGCUGCCCCAGAGCUGUGCAGGAAAGGGUUUGGGGUUAACGAGCCUUGCAGUCAACUGGAUGGAACUUAACCCUGGUGGCCUCUCUGUGGCCUGGUGACACUGUGCAGAUCUGUGGACUUGCAUCUUCCAAGACCCAUGAUAUAACCCAGCUGGAGUCACGGGAGGAGCCCUUCGUGCCUGCCUCGGAAGCUGUGACUUCAGCCACACCGAGAGGUACUUGGUGGGUGGAGCUCAGGGAGGUAUGAACUCGGGGAUGGGUUCAUAUCAUACCAGGAGUCUUUCCAGUGGGCCCAGAUAUUUUGAUACCAAGGCAAGGGGUCGUAGCUGAUUUCUGUCUUUUCUUCCUCAGUCACCCAUUUAUGUCUAUUCUGAUAUUUGACCCGGGGCCAUUCCCACCUCUCUGUCCUCCAUGUUUCACCCAAUCCUCAGCAGCACCUUUCAGCAGUGGCUUUCACUGAAUAUGUGGUGAG